CACCAGCCCCUCGAGUGGUGGGGAUGAUUAUUUGGCCUAAAGCGUCCGUAGCCGGCCGGGUAAGUUUCCCGUUAAAUCCAGCGUCUCAAGCGUUGGACUGCGGGAAAUACUGCCUGGCUAGAGAGUGGGAGAGGUCAGCGGCAUUCUGGGGGUAGGGGCGAAACCCUUUGAUCCCCGGAGGACCACCAGUGGCGAAGGCUGCUGACUAGAACACGUCUGACGGUCAGGGACGAAAGCUGGGGUAGUGAACCGGAUUAGAUACCCGGGAAGUUCCAGCCGUAAACGAUGCAUGCUAGGUAUUGGGUUGGCCACGAGCCACCCCAGUGCCGCAGGGAAGCCGUUAAGCAUGCCGCCUGGGAAGUACGAUCGCAAGAUUGAAACUUAAAGGAAUUGGCGGGGGAGCACCACCAGGCGUGAAGCCUGCGGUUU
RNAcentral lists this ribosomal RNA (429 nucleotides) under uncultured archaeon. RNAcentral describes it as "bacterial SSU rRNA". It matches the Rfam family "Archaeal small subunit ribosomal RNA", at positions 474 to 903 of the family's 1478-position model. The record is from RNAcentral.